Molecule: long non-coding RNA, 361 nt
Filed under: Cavia porcellus (domestic guinea pig)
Lineage: Eukaryota; Metazoa; Chordata; Mammalia; Rodentia; Caviidae
Description: lncRNA (ENSCPOG00000030905.1)
Source: RNAcentral
GCGGGACCCUGCCCCUCGGCGGCUCCCCAACUCCUCUAGCUUCCAUUUUUCUCUGCUUUGGCAAAGCAAGUGGGAAGGGGCGGGGGAGACCUGCGGGUCCCCGCUGCAGGCGUCUCGGGGCUGCUGGGCUCGGCCCACCUCGUCCCUGCCAGGGAGAGAGGUACAUGGACAGACAUGAACCAGGCGAGCGGACUGGACCUGCUCAAGAUCACACAUGGGAAAGGAGCCCGAAGGAAAAGCAGAUUUAAAGGAUCUGAUGGAAGCACUUCAUCUGAUACUACCUCAAACAGUUUCGUUCGUCAGGUAAGGAAACUCUUAAUUUCGCGGCUUUGAGGAAUGUAUUGAAAUCCUUAAGAUUUGU